This 497-nucleotide ribosomal RNA is filed under the name uncultured bacterium. Its description in RNAcentral is "partial 16S ribosomal RNA". It matches the Rfam family "Bacterial small subunit ribosomal RNA", at positions 28 to 507 of the family's 1533-position model. The record is from RNAcentral.
GAUGAACGCUGGCGGCGUGCCUAAUACAUGUAAGUCAAGCGAACAGACGAGGAGCUUGCUCCUCUGACGUUAGCGGCGGACGGGUGAGUAACACGUGGAUAACCUACCUAUAAGACUGGGAUAACUUCGGGAAACCGGAGCUAAUACCGGAUAAUAUAUUGAACCGCAUGGUUCAAUAGUGAAAGACGGUUUUGCUGUCACUUAUAGAUGGAUCCGCGCCGCAUUAGCUAGUUGGUAAGGUAACGGCUUACCAAGGCAACGAUGCGUAGCCGACCUGAGAGGGUGAUCGGCCACACUGGAACUGAGACACGGUCCAGACUCCUACGGGAGGCAGCAGUAGGGAAUCUUCCGCAAUGGGCGAAAGCCUGACGGAGCAACGCCGCGUGAGUGAUGAAGGUCUUCGGAUCGUAAAACUCUGUUAUUAGGGAAGAACAAAUGUGUAAGUAACUAUGCACGUCUUGACGGUACCUAAUCAGAAAGCCACGGCUAACUACGUG